UUUUAGAGAAUCAGAAAGAAAAGAACAUAAUGGCGGACGGACGGACGGACGCCAAAAGCCCAAAACCCUGCUCUCUGCUUCUGCCUCAAGCAACUUGUGCCCCACUCCUCUUCCCCUAAUUAUUUCCUCACCAAAUCAAUACCCUACCCACUUCCUUCUCUGCAUAUCAAUUUUCAUUCAUCCAUCAUCGCGCAGAAUCUGCACAACGAUUGACACAGGGAUUUACAGAUGGCUAAGGAAAACAGCUGCUUGACUCGCGUUGCCACCGGCGCUGUAAUUGGCGGAGCUGUCGGCGGUGCCGUCGGUGCAGAGUUUGGUACAUAUGAGGCUCAAUGGUUUAAUGUAAGGUUUAAGGAGCAUCUUGGGUUGAACUUCAACUUUUGAGUUUUCGGUCAAAACAAUAUUCUUCUACACUCAUCACUUUUUCUCUACUACACCUUGAAUGGACACCACAAAACUGUUAUGUCUCUUAAGAACGUGUAUUAGUUCCAAGUCGCUGAAGCAAGGCAAGCUCGUCCACCAAAAGAUUCUCACUCUAGGCUUACAGAAUGACCUUGCUCUUUGCAAAAACCUGAUAGACUUUUACUUCUCUUGCCAUUUUUAUGACUCUGCUAAGCUUGUUUUCCAAUCCAUUGAAAACCCAACCGGUAUUUCCCUGUGGAAUGGCCUCAUGACAGCUUAUACCAAGAACUUCAUGUUCAACGAAGCUCUUGACCUCUUUGGCAGUUUGCUGCGCUACCCUUAUCUUUGUCCUGAUAGUUACACUUAUCCAAGUGUCCUUAAGGCAUGUGGUGCAUUGGGUGAAGUUAGUAUGGGAAAAAUGAUCCAUAACCAUUUGAUAAAGAUCGGUUUCGUAUCAGAUAUUGUUGUUGCCAGCUCUCUUGUGUGCAUGUAUGCUAAAUGCAACAUUUUUGAGUUUGCUAUACGGCUGUUUGAUGAAAUGCCCGAGAGAGAUGUGGCAUGUUGGAAUACUGUAAUUUCUUGUUAUUAUCAAGAUGGGCAAGCUCGUAAGGCAAUAGACUUGUAUGAAAAGAUGAGGAAUUCUGGAUUUAUGCCCAAUUCAGUAACACUUACGACUGUUAUUUCAUCGUGUGCAAGACUUUCAGAUUUAGAGAGAGGUGUGGAUAUUCACAAGGAGUUGAUAAAAAGUCGCUUGGUUUUGGAUUCCUUUGUUUGUUCUGCUCUUGUGGAUAUGUAUGGAAAAUGCGGAUGUUUAGAUAUGGCAAAACAGGUUUUUGAGCAAAUCCCAAUAAAGAAUGUAAUUUCUUGGAAUUCUAUGAUCACAGCAUACAGUGUAUCAGGUGACAGUAGAUCCUGUAUCCAACUUUUUAGAAGGAUGAAUGAUGAAGGAACGAGUCCCACGUUAACUACUUUUAGUAGCAUACUGUUGGCCUGUUCAAGGUCAGCCCAACUACAGCACGGAAAAUUCAUACAUGCGUUUAUUAUAAGAAACAAUAUUGAGGCUGAUAUCUACAUUUACAGCUCGCUCCUAGAUCUCUACUUCAUGUGUGGAAGUGUCUCAUCAGCUAAAAAUGUCUUUGAAAAGAUGCCGAAGACAAACACAGCUUCUUGGAAUGUUAUGAUUUCUGGAUAUGUGAAAGUGGGUGAUUAUUUUGGGGCUCUGGCCACGUAUGAUGAAAUGAAAGUAGCUGGUGUAAGGCCAAAUGCCAUCACAGUAACUAGUAUCUUAUCGGCUUGUUCGCAACUUGCAGCACUGGAAAAGGGUAAGGAGAUUCACAGAACUCUCAUUGAUAGUGAGUUGGAAACCAACGAAAUAGUGAUGGGGGCUCUCCUUGAUAUGUAUGCUAAAUGCGGUGUGGUGGAUGAAGCUCUUAAUGUUUUUAAUAGAUUACCAGAUAGAGACCUUGUGUCAUGGACCUCCAUGAUCACUGCAUACGGAGCUCAUGGUCAAGCUUUAGAAGCUUUAAAGCUUUUUGGUGAAAUGCAGCAGUCCUAUGCAAAGCCUGAUGGAGUUACUCUUCUUGCGGUUCUAUCAGCUUGUAGCCACGUGGGGCUAGUUGACGAAGGUUGUCACUAUUUCAGUCAGAUGAUCACCAAUUAUGGAAUUAAACCUAGAGUGGAACAUUACUCUUGUUUGAUGGAUCUUCUUGGACGUGCUGGAAGGUUGAAUGAAGCAUAUCAACUUUUGCAAAGAACUCCAGAAAUUAGGGAGGACAUUGACUUGUUAAGCACACUAUUUUCCGCUUGUCGUUUGCACAAGGACAUAGAUUUGGGUGUGAAAAUCGCAGGGUUGUUAAUGGAGAAGAAUCCCGAUGAUCCUUCAACUUUUAUUAUGUUAUCAAAUAUUUAUGCUUCUGUAAAGAAAUGGGAUGAAGUGCGGAAGGUGAGAUUAAAGAUGAAAGAAUUAGGAUUAAGGAAAAAUCCGGGCUGUAGCUGGAUUGAGAUUAACAAGAGGAUCCAGCCUUUCUUUGUUGAAGACAAGUCCCAUUCACAAUCAGAAAUGGUAUAUGAAUGUCUCGCAAGUCUUGCCAGUCACAUGGAGAGAGAUGAGUUGUUUCCAAAUAGAGCAGCAGAUAUAUGAUAUACUAUAGAGAAAGCAAUCUGUAUAUUCUUGCUGGAGAACUUAAGGCAUAUGUUAAGAAUCCCUGGUAUCGGAUUCAUGGAACUUCGUGUUCCUUCAGAUGCAAGGAGAUGUAGUAUGGAACUUUGCUUCUGAUUUAUUGUCAGAUUUGGUACUUCGGUCUAACUCAAAGGUGGACGUGAAACUAUUGAUAAUGACACUGCUGGAAAGGAAUGUGGUAGGGGUUUAAGAUGAGUGGCCAACGAUUUUCAAAUAUAUUUUGCACCUUCGUGCAGAAAUGAUAAGAGGAAUGUAUAACAAAUCUUGUCGUGUACUUGAAGAAGUUGGAAUCAUGCGAGGACUGGAUGGAAUGGACAAAAGAAAUUCACUCCCUUAGACAUCUUCUGGGAAGCCUAAAACACUGGACACUUUAGAUGAAUAUGAAGUCCUCGAGGGUUAAAAAUGUUGUUCGUUUACCACAAAGCUUAAAUCGGGCAGGAUUAGGCGUAUACUUACUUGUGUAAGGUGGAUGGAGGCACAAUGGAGAAACAAUGGUGGCAGUGCUGCUUGUUUUGGUCUUUUCUUAGUUGCUCGGAGCUUGAUACAUCGUCGGAAGUCUUAGCAAGCUACUUUGCUGAAUUAAAAUGAACAAAAUUUUGUUCUGUUUACUAAGUCCUGAUUUUAAACAUAAGUUAGAAUUCAUGACGUUUCUGUUGCGCACUGUGAUAUAGACCAUAUGGUCAGCACAUGAUUGAAGACUUCAUGUGGGCGAUGACAUUUAUGGAUCAAACAGCCAAUUGCUUUCCAAUGGGUCCAACACCACUCGUAACCGCAGUUCAAGUCACAACAAACAAGGACAUCUAGAUGUAGCAACCAGAAAUGGGAACAAAAUUAAAGAAAACGAAUCUCAUCAUGAAACUGAAUGGGCUGAGCAAGAUGAGCCUGGUGUAUGCAUCACACUUACUUCCCUACCAGGAGGUGCCAAGGAUCUCAAGCGAGUUCGUUUCAGGUAUACUGUACUUGCCUACAUAACAGUACGUGCCUAUGCGGGGGUGUGUUUUUCCCUUUCCGAUAAGAGUGUGUAUAUGUAUAUGUAUAGUAUAAUGUUCUCUUGCCAAACUCUAGACUGUUUUCAGGCAAGAAUCUACCUAAUAAGUGGGUUGGAUUCAUAAAUUGCUUAU
Molecule: RNA transcript, 3702 nt
Organism: Pyrus x bretschneideri (Chinese white pear)
Lineage: Eukaryota; Viridiplantae; Streptophyta; Magnoliopsida; Rosales; Rosaceae
Gene name: pentatricopeptide repeat-containing protein At5g27110
Exons: 3
Source: RefSeq, a predicted model, not a curated record